AAAGAGCUUGUAGGCGGUUUGUCGCGUCUGCUGUGAAAGGCCGGGGCUUAACCCCGUGUAUUGCAGUGGGUACGGGCAGACUAGAGUGCAGUAGGGGAGACUGGAAUUCCUGGUGUAGCGGUGGAAUGCGCAGAUAUCAGGAGGAACACCGAUGGCGAAGGCAGGUCUCUGGGCUGUAACUGACGCUGAGAAGCGAAAGCAUGGGGAGCGAACAGGAUUAGAUACCCUGGUAGUCCAUGCCGUAAACGUUGGGCACUAGGUGUGGGGGACAUUCCACGUUUUCCGCGCCGUAGCUAACGCAUUAAGUGCCCCGCCUGGGGAGUACGGCCGCAAGGCUAAAACUCGAAGAAAUUGACGGGGGCCCGCACAAGCGGCGGAGCAUGCGGAUUAAUUCGAUGCAACGCGAAGAACCUUACCAAGGCUUGACAUAUACUGGACCGCAUCAGAGAUGGUGUUUCCCUUCGGGGCUGGUAUACAGGUGGUGCAUGGUUGUCGUCAGCUCGUGUCGUGAGAUGUUGGGUUAAGUCCCGCAACGAGCGCAACCCUCGUUCUAUGUUGCCAGCACGUUAUGGUGGGGACUCAUAGGAGACUGCCGGGGUCAACUCGGAGGAAGGUGGGGAUGACGUCAAAUCAUCAUGCCCCUUAUGUCUUGGGCUUCACGCAUGCUACAAUGGCCGGUACAGAGGGUUGCGAUACUGUGAGGUGGAGCUAAUCCCUAAAAGCCGGUCUCAGUUCGGAUUGGGGUCUGCAACUCGACCCCAUGAAGUCGGAGUCGCUAGUAAUCGCAGAUCAGCAACGCUGCGGUGAAUACG
This 812-nucleotide ribosomal RNA is filed under the name uncultured bacterium. RNAcentral's name for it is "bacterial SSU rRNA". It matches the Rfam family "Bacterial small subunit ribosomal RNA", at positions 562 to 1370 of the family's 1533-position model. The record is from RNAcentral.